GAUGAACGCUGGCGGCGUGCCUAAUACAUGCAAGUCGAGCGAACGGACGAGAAGCUUGCUUCUCUGAUGUUAGCGGCGGACGGGUGAGUAACACGUGGAUAACCUACCUAUAAGACUGGGAUAACUUCGGGAAACCGUAGCUAAUACCGGAUAAUAUUUUGAACCGCAUGGUUCAAAAGUGAAAGACGGUCUUGCUGUCACUUAUAGAUGGAUCCGCGCUGCAUUAGCUAGUUGGUAAGGUAACGGCUUACCAAGGCAACGAUGCGUAGCCGACCUGAGAGGGUGAUUGGCCCAACCUGAACUGAGACACGGUCCAGACUCCUACGGGAGGCAGCAGGAGGGAAUCUUCCGCAAUGGGCGAAAGCCUGACGGAGCAACGCCGCGUGAGUGAUGAAGGUCUUCGGAUCUUAAAACUCUGUUAUUAGGGAAGAACAUAUGUGUAAGUAACUGUGCACAUCUUGACGGUACCUAAUCAGAAGGCCACGGCUAACUACGUG
Molecule: ribosomal RNA, 497 nt
Filed under: uncultured bacterium
Lineage: Bacteria
Description: partial 16S ribosomal RNA
Rfam family: Bacterial small subunit ribosomal RNA
Source: RNAcentral